AGAGUUUGAUCCUGGCUCAGGACGAACGCUGGCGGCGUGCCUAACACAUGCAAGUCGAACGGUAAGGCCCCUUCGGGGGUACACGAGUGGAGAACGGGUGAGUAACACGUGAGCAACCUGCCCAUGACUCUGGAAUAACAGCUGGAAACAGCCGCUAAUACCGGAUACGACCUUCGAGGACAUCCUCCGAAGGUGGAAAGCUCCGGCGGUCAUGGAUGGGCUCGCGGCCUAUCAGCUAGUUGGUGAGGUAAUGGCUCACCAAGGCUUCGACGGGUAGCCGGCCUGAGAGGGCGACCGGCCACACUGGGACUGAGAUACGGCCCAGACUCCUACGGGAGGCAGCAGUGGGGAAUAUUGCACAAUGGACGCAAGUCUGAUGCAGCAACGCCGCGUGCGGGAUGACGGCCUUCGGGUUGUAAACCGCUUUCAGCAGGGACGAAGCGAAAGUGACGGUACCUGCAGAAGAAGGACCGGCCAACUACGUGCCAGCCGCCGCGGUAAUAC
RNAcentral lists this ribosomal RNA (504 nucleotides) under uncultured bacterium. Its description in RNAcentral is "bacterial SSU rRNA". It matches the Rfam family "Bacterial small subunit ribosomal RNA", at positions 8 to 526 of the family's 1533-position model. The record is from RNAcentral.